RNAcentral lists this ribosomal RNA (691 nucleotides) under uncultured bacterium. RNAcentral describes it as "bacterial SSU rRNA". It matches the Rfam family "Bacterial small subunit ribosomal RNA", at positions 94 to 764 of the family's 1533-position model. The record is from RNAcentral.
AGUGGCAAACGGGUGAGUAACACGUGGGUGACCUGCCUUCGAGUGGGGGAUAACGUCCCGAAAGGGACGCUAAUACCGCAUGACAUCCUGCUCUUGGACGAGCGGAGAUCAAAGCUGGGGAUCGCAAGACCUGGCGCUUGAAGAGGGGCCCGCGCCUGAUUAGCUAGUUGGUGGGGUAACGGCUCACCAAGGCAACGAUCAGUAUCCGGCCUGAGAGGGCGGACGGACACACUGGGACUGAGACACGGCCCAGACUCCUACGGGAGGCAGCAGUGGGGAAUUGUUCGCAAUGGGCGCAAGCCUGACGACGCAACGCCGCGUGGAGGACGAAGAUCUUCGGGUCGUAAACUCCUGUCGAGCGGGGCGAACGCUUCGCGGAUUAAUAAUCCGCGGAAUUGACGGUACCGCUAAAGGAAGCCCCGGCUAACUCCGUGCCAGCAGCCGCGGUAAUACGGGGGGGGCAAGCGUUGUUCGGAAUUACUGGGCGUAAAGGGCUCGUAGGCGGCCAACUAAGUCGGACGUGAAAUCCCCAGGCUCAACCUGGGAACUGCGUCCGAUACUGAUUGGCUUGAAUCCGGGAGAGGGAUGCAGAAUUCCAGGUGUAGCGGUGAAAUGCGUAGAUAUCUGGAGGAAUACCGGUGGCGAACGCGGCAUCCUGGACCGGCAUUGACGCUGAUGAGCGAAAGCUAGG